This is a small nuclear RNA of Pogona vitticeps (central bearded dragon), 163 nucleotides long. Its record names the gene U1. It matches the Rfam family "U1 spliceosomal RNA". From Rfam's summary of the family: U1 is a small nuclear RNA (snRNA) component of the spliceosome (involved in pre-mRNA splicing). Its 5' end forms complementary base pairs with the 5' splice junction, thus defining the 5' donor site of an intron. There are significant differences in sequence and secondary structure between metazoan and yeast U1 snRNAs, the latter being much longer (568 nucleotides as compared to 164 nucleotides in human). The record is from Ensembl. Lineage: Eukaryota; Metazoa; Chordata; Lepidosauria; Squamata; Agamidae.
ACUUAUACCUUGCAGGGGAAAUACCAUGGUCAUAAAAGUGGUUUUUCCAGAGGAAGGCUCAUCCAUUGCACUUUGGGUGUGCCGAUUCCUAUGAUUUCACCAAAUGUGGGGAACUCAACUGCAUAAUUUGUGUUAAUGGGGAAUUGCAUUUGUGAUUUCCCUG